This 322-nucleotide ribosomal RNA is filed under the name uncultured Geobacter sp. Its description in RNAcentral is "bacterial SSU rRNA". It matches the Rfam family "Bacterial small subunit ribosomal RNA", at positions 486 to 807 of the family's 1533-position model. Lineage: Bacteria; Pseudomonadati; Thermodesulfobacteriota; Desulfuromonadia; Geobacterales; Geobacteraceae. The record is from RNAcentral.
GGAAGCACCGGCUAACUCCGUGCCAGCAGCCGCGGUAAUACGGAGGGUGCAAGCGUUGUUCGGAUUUAUUGGGCGUAAAGCGCGUGUAGGCGGUCUUUUAAGUCUGAUGUGAAAGCCCCGGGCUCAACCCGGGAAGUGCAUUGGAAACUGGGAGACUUGAAUACGGGAGAGGGUAGUGGAAUUCCUAGUGUAGGAGUGAAAUCCGUAGAUAUUAGGAGGAACACCGGUGGCGAAGGCGGCUACCUGGACCGAUAUUGACGCUGAGACGCGAAAGCGUGGGGAGCAAACAGGAUUAGAUACCCUGGUAGUCCACGCCGUAAAC